UACGUAGGGUGCAAGCGUUAAUCGGAAUUACUGGGCGUAAAGCGUGAGCAGGCGGUUGUGGAAGUUUGUCGUGAAAUCCCCGGGCUCAACCUGGGAAUUGCGAUGAAGACUGCACGGCUAGAGUGUGUCAGAGGGGGGUAGAAUUCCACGUGUAGCAGUGAAAUGCGUAGAUAUGUGGAGGAACACCGAUGGCGAAGGCAGCCCCCUGGGAUAACACUGACGCUCAUGCACGAAAGCGUGGGGAGCAAACAGG
RNAcentral lists this ribosomal RNA (253 nucleotides) under uncultured bacterium. RNAcentral's name for it is "partial 16S ribosomal RNA". It matches the Rfam family "Bacterial small subunit ribosomal RNA", at positions 524 to 776 of the family's 1533-position model. The record is from RNAcentral.